GGGGAUUUAGCUUAGGGUUAAGCGCCUGCCUGGCAAGCAUGAGGUCAUGAGUUUGAUCACCGGUACCAAAAAUAAAUAAAUAAAUGGACUUGAAAUGUAGCUCAAUGCAAAGGCCCUGUGUUCAAUCCCCA
This 131-nucleotide transfer RNA is filed under the name Cavia porcellus (domestic guinea pig). Lineage: Eukaryota; Metazoa; Chordata; Mammalia; Rodentia; Caviidae. The record is from Rfam by way of RNAcentral.